RNAcentral lists this ribosomal RNA (693 nucleotides) under Streptomyces carpaticus. RNAcentral describes it as "bacterial SSU rRNA". It matches the Rfam family "Bacterial small subunit ribosomal RNA", at positions 57 to 765 of the family's 1533-position model. The record is from RNAcentral. Lineage: Bacteria; Bacillati; Actinomycetota; Actinomycetes; Kitasatosporales; Streptomycetaceae.
GCAGUCGAACGAUGAACCGGUUUCGGCCGGGGAUUAGUGGCGAACGGGUGAGUAACACGUGGGCAAUCUGCCCUGCACUCUGGGAUAAGCCCGGGAAACUGGGUCUAAUACCGGAUACGACACUCCAAGGCAUCUUGGAGUGUGGAAAGUUCCGGCGGUGCAGGAUGAGCCCGCGGCCUAUCAGCUUGUUGGUGGGGUAAUGGCCUACCAAGGCGACGACGGGUAGCCGGCCUGAGAGGGUGACCGGCCACACUGGGACUGAGACACGGCCCAGACUCCUACGGGAGGCAGCAGUGGGGAAUAUUGCACAAUGGGCGAAAGCCUGAUGCAGCGACGCCGCGUGAGGGAUGACGGCCUUCGGGUUGUAAACCUCUUUCAGCAGGGAAGAAGCGAAAGUGACGGUACCUGCAGAAGAAGCACCGGCUAACUACGUGCCAGCAGCCGCGGUAAUACGUAGGGUGCGAGCGUUGUCCGGAAUUAUUGGGCGUAAAGAGCUCGUAGGCGGUUUGUCGCGUCGAUUGUGAAAGCCCGGGGCUUAACCCUGGGUCUGCAGUCGAUACGGGCAGGCUAGAGUUCGGCAGGGGAGACUGGAAUUCCUGGUGUAGCGGUGAAAUGCGCAGAUAUCAGGAGGAACACCGGUGGCGAAGGCGGGGUCUCUGGGCCGAUACUGACGCUGAGGAGCGAAAGCGUGGG